RNAcentral lists this ribosomal RNA (497 nucleotides) under uncultured bacterium. Its description in RNAcentral is "partial 16S ribosomal RNA". It matches the Rfam family "Bacterial small subunit ribosomal RNA", at positions 28 to 507 of the family's 1533-position model. The record is from RNAcentral.
GAUGAACGCUGGCGGCGUGCCUAAUACAUGCAAGUCGAGCGAACGGACGAGAAGCUUGCUUCUCUGAUGUUAGCGGCGGACGGGUGAGUAACACGUGUAUAACCUACCUAUAAGACUGGGAUAACUUCGGGAAACCGGAGCUAAUACCGGAUAAUAUUUUGAACCGCAUGGUUCAAAAGUGAAAGACGGUCUUGCUGUCACUUAUAGAUGGAUCCGCGCUGCAUUAGCUAGUUGGUAAGGUAACGGCUUACCAAGGCAACGAUGCAUAGCCGACCUGAGAGGGUGAUAGGCCACACUGGAACUGAGACACGGUCCAGGCUCCUACGGGAGGCAGCAGUAGGGAAUCUUACGCAAUGGGCGAAAACCUGACGGAGCAACGCCGCGUGAGUGAUGAAGGUCUUCGGAUCGUAAAGCUCUGUUAUUAGGGAAGAACAUAUGUGUAAGUAACUGUGCACAUCUUGACGGUACCUAAUCAGAAAGCCACGGCUAACUACGUG